Long non-coding RNA from Eptesicus fuscus (big brown bat), 501 nucleotides. RefSeq lists it as uncharacterized. The transcript is spliced from 5 exons. The record is from RefSeq and is a predicted model, not a curated record. Lineage: Eukaryota; Metazoa; Chordata; Mammalia; Chiroptera; Vespertilionidae.
CUUGCAGCAAAGCCUAGACAUGAAUACCUCCUAACAAGAAUUCAGGGAUACCAGAUGUCUCUCUGUCUGCUUGCGAUUGUGAAUUUCUACCUCAGGUAGUCUGACAGGAGGCCUGUUAGACUUGACUGAAUCAGAUUGGAGCUGUGGAAUAUAGAGAAUAAUGCCCUCCAUUCACUCCAGAGCAGAGGCUGUGGGAUCAGUGGUGCCACCACUCUACAAAGAUUAAGAAAUGGAGGCACAGAGAGGACAAGUGGGAAAUAGCACCAUCGGAACAUCUGCCCUGCUGGUUUCUUUCAUUUUAUGUGUAAAUGAGUUUCAACAGCAACACUUUCUGUCAUCCUUGUCAAUGAUCUGGAAUCAAAGUUACCAGAGAACCUCUUAAGAAAAUGUGUGGUGUAAAGAACUAUGGAUCCUCCAAAUAUUUUUCUAGAACACAGAAGACAACAUUGAUCUGAAAUUCCUGGAUCUGAAGCAGUUCUUAUUGGAAGGGGGAAAUAGUUU